UUGACCUCGAAUCAGGUAGGAAUACCCGCUGAACUUAAGCAUAUCAAUAAGCGGAGGAAAAGAAACCA
This 68-nucleotide ribosomal RNA is filed under the name Erysiphe huayinensis. RNAcentral describes it as "partial 28S rRNA". It matches the Rfam family "Eukaryotic large subunit ribosomal RNA", at positions 1 to 67 of the family's 3401-position model. The record is from RNAcentral. Lineage: Eukaryota; Fungi; Ascomycota; Leotiomycetes; Helotiales; Erysiphaceae.